GUGGGGAAUAUUGGACAAUGGGCGAAAGCCUGAUCCAGCCAUGCCGCGUGUGUGAAGAAGGUCUUCGGAUUGUAAAGCACUUUAAGUUGGGAGGAAGGGCAGUAAGCUAAUACCUUGCUGUUUUGACGUUACCGACAGAAUAAGCACCGGCUAACUUCGUGCCAGCAGCCGCGGUAAUACGAAGGGUGCAAGCGUUAAUCGGAAUUACUGGGCGUAAAGCGCGCGUAGGUGGUUUUGUAAGUUGAAGGUGAAAUCCCCGGGCUCAACCUGGGAACUGCCUCCAAAACUGCAUGACUAGAGUACGGUAGAGGGUAGUGGAAUUUCCUGUGUAGCGGUGAAAUGCGUAGAUAUAGGAAGGAACACCAGUGGCGAAGGCGACUACCUGGACUGAUACUGACACUGAGGUGCGAAAGCGUGGGGAGCAAACAGGAUUAGAAACCCCUGUAGUCC
This 450-nucleotide ribosomal RNA is filed under the name uncultured bacterium. Its description in RNAcentral is "bacterial SSU rRNA". It matches the Rfam family "Bacterial small subunit ribosomal RNA", at positions 354 to 796 of the family's 1533-position model. The record is from RNAcentral.